This 450-nucleotide ribosomal RNA is filed under the name uncultured bacterium. RNAcentral's name for it is "partial 16S ribosomal RNA". It matches the Rfam family "Bacterial small subunit ribosomal RNA", at positions 354 to 796 of the family's 1533-position model. The record is from RNAcentral.
GUGGGGAAUAUUGGACAAUGGGCGAAAGCCUGAUCCAGCCAUGCCGCGUGUGUGAAGAAGGUCUUCGGAUUGUAAAGCACUUUAAGUUGGGAGGAAGGGCAUUAACCUAAUACGUUAGUGUUUUGACGUUACCGACAGAAUAAGCACCGGCUAACUUCGUGCCAGCAGCCGCGGUAAUACGAAGGGUGCAAGCGUUAAUCGGAAUUACUGGGCGUAAAGCGCGCGUAGGUGGUUCGUUAAGUUGGAUGUGAAAGCCCCGGGCUCAACCUGGGAACUGCAUCGAAAACUGGCGAGCUAGAGUACGGUAGAGAGUGGUGGAAUUUCCUGUGUAGCGGUGAAAUGCGUAGAUAUAGGAAGGAACACCAGUGGCGAAGGCGACCACCUGGACUGAUACUGACACUGAGGUGCGAAAGCGUGGGGAGCAAACAGGAUUAGAUACCCUAGUAGUCC